RNAcentral lists this ribosomal RNA (468 nucleotides) under uncultured bacterium. Its description in RNAcentral is "partial 16S ribosomal RNA". It matches the Rfam family "Bacterial small subunit ribosomal RNA", at positions 28 to 507 of the family's 1533-position model. The record is from RNAcentral.
GACGAACGCUGGCGGCGUGCUUAACACAUGCAAGUCGAACGGUGAAGCUCCAGCUUGCUGGAGUGGAUCAGUGGCGAACGGGUGAGUAACACGUGAGCAACCUGCCCCUGACUCUGGAAUAAGCGCUGGAAACGGCGUCUAAUACUGGAUACGAGAAGGGUCCGCAUGGGCACUUUCUGGAAAGUUUUUCGGUUGGGGAUGGGCUCGCGGCCUAUCAGCUUGUUGGUGAGGUAAUGGCUCACCAAGGCGACGACGGGUAGCCGGCCUGAGAGGGCGACCGGCCACACUGGAACUGAGACACGGCCCAGACUCCUACGGGAGGCAGCGGUGGGGAAUAUUGCACAAUGGGCGAGAGCCUGAUGCAGCGACGCCGCGUGAGGGAUGACGGCCUUCGGGUUGUAAACCUCUUUCAGCAGGGAAGAAGCGAAAGUGACGGUACCUGCAGAAGAAGCACCGGCUAACUACGUG